AACGUAGGACGCGAGCGUUAUCCGGAGUUACUGGGCGUAAAGCGCGGGCAGGCGGCCUGACAAGUCUGAUGUGAAAUCUCCGGGCUUAACCGGGAGAGGCCAUUGGAAACUGACAGGCUGGAGGGCAGUAGAGGUAGGCGGAAUUCCGGGUGGAGGGGUGAAAUGCGUAGAGAUCCGGAGGAACACCAGAGGCGAAGGCGGCCUACUGGGCUGCACCUGACGCUGAGCCGCGAAAGCCAGGGGAGCGAACGGG
RNAcentral lists this ribosomal RNA (253 nucleotides) under uncultured bacterium. RNAcentral's name for it is "partial 16S ribosomal RNA". It matches the Rfam family "Bacterial small subunit ribosomal RNA", at positions 524 to 776 of the family's 1533-position model. The record is from RNAcentral.